GACGAGGUGGCCGAGCGGUCUAAGGCGCUAGAUUCAGGGCUACCUGGAGGAAAUCAGGGAGAAACUAUUAGUCCGUAAGGGCGUGGGUUCAAAUCCCAUCCUCAUCA
This 107-nucleotide transfer RNA is filed under the name Pleodorina starrii. Its description in RNAcentral is "tRNA-Leu". It matches the Rfam family "tRNA". Rfam says of the family: Transfer RNA (tRNA) molecules are approximately 80 nucleotides in length. Their secondary structure includes four short double-helical elements and three loops (D, anti-codon, and T loops). The record is from RNAcentral. Lineage: Eukaryota; Viridiplantae; Chlorophyta; Chlorophyceae; Chlamydomonadales; Volvocaceae.